CCUACGCGUGGCAGCAGUGAGGAAUAUUGGUCAAUGGGCGCGAGCCUGAACCAGCCAAGUCGCGUGAGGGAGGACGGCCCUACGGGUUGUAAACCUCUUUUGCCGGGGAGCAACGGGCGCCACGUGUGGCGUCCCUGAGAGUACCCGGAGAAAAAGCAUCGGCUAACUCCGUGCCAGCAGCCGGGGUAAUACGGAGGAUGCGAGCGUUCUCCCGAUUUAUUGGGUUUAAAGGGUUCGUAGGCGGGUCGUUAAGUCAGUGGUCAAAUUGCGGGGAUCAACCCCUUCCCGCCAUUGAAACUGGCGGUCUGGAGUGGGAGAGAAGGAUGCGGAAUGCGUGGUG
RNAcentral lists this ribosomal RNA (340 nucleotides) under uncultured bacterium. Its description in RNAcentral is "partial 16S ribosomal RNA". It matches the Rfam family "Bacterial small subunit ribosomal RNA", at positions 338 to 675 of the family's 1533-position model. The record is from RNAcentral.